UCCGGUUUGUCACCGGCGGUCUCCUUAGAGUUCCCAACUUAAUGAUGGCAACUAAGGAUAAGGGUUGCGCUCGUUACGGGACUUAACCCAACAUCUCACAACACGAGCUGACGACAGCCAUGCAGCACCUGUCUCUAGGUUCCUUUCGGCACUCCCGCAUCUCUGCAGGAUUCCUAGGAUGUCAAGGGUAGGUAAGGUUCUUCGCGUUGCAUCGAAUUAAACCACAUGCUCCACCGCUUGUGCGGGCCCCCGUCAAUUCCUUUGAGUUUUAACCUUGCGGCCGUACUCCCCAGGCGGAGAACUUAUCGCGUUUGCUUCGAUACUAAUGCGCUCGCGCGCACCAACAUCUAGUUCUCAUCGUUUACAGCGUGGACUAC
This 377-nucleotide unclassified non-coding RNA is filed under the name uncultured Gammaproteobacteria bacterium. RNAcentral describes it as "contains 16S-23S intergenic spacer region". Lineage: Bacteria; Pseudomonadati; Pseudomonadota; Gammaproteobacteria. The record is from RNAcentral.